UGAAAGGCUAAUCAAACCCGGAGAUAGCUGGUUCUCUUCGAAAACUAUUUAGGUAGUGCCUCGUGUAUUACCGUAGGGGGUAGAGCACUGUUUCGGCUAGGGGGUCAUCCCGACUUACCAAACCGAUGCAAACUCCGAAUACCUACGAGUAUGAGCACGGGAGACAGACUGCGGGUGCUAACGUCCGUAGUCGAGAGGGAAACAACCCAGACUGUCAGCUAAGGUCCCNAAUUAUGGUUAAGUGGGAAACAAUGUGGGAAGGCACAAACAGCUAGGAGGUUGGCUUAGAAGCAGCCAUCCUUUAAAGAAAGCGUAAUAGCUCACUAGUCGAGUCGGCCUGCGUGGAAGAUAUAACGGGGCUAAANCAUAAACCGAAGCUACAGAUCUUAAAUUUAUUUAAGAUGGUAGAAGAGCGUUCUGUAAGCGGCUGAAGGUNNGCUGNNAGGCNNNCUGGACGUAUCAGAAGUGCGAAUGUUGACAUGAGUAACGAUCAAAGAGGUGAAAAACCUCUUCGCCGAAAAACCAAGGGUUCCUGUCCAACGCUAAUCGAGGCAGGGUGAGGCGGCCCCUAAGGCGAGGGCGAAAGCCGUAGUCGAUGGGAAACAGGUUAAUAUUCCUGUGCUUUUUACAACUGCGAUGGGGUGACGGAGAAGGUUAGGCUAGCACGGCGACGGUUGUCCGUGUUUAAGGUAGUAGGCUGGUGUUUUAGGUAAAUCCGGAACACUAAGGCUGAGAGCUGAUGACGACCACUCUAUGAGUGGGAAGUNGNUGAUACCAUGCUUCCAGGAAAAACCUCUAAGCUUCANNUUGUAAGAAACCGUACCCUAAACCGACACAGGUGGUUAGGUCGAGUAGACCAAGGUGUUUGAGAGAACUAUGGUGAAGGAACUAGGCAAAAUAGCACCGUAACUUCGGGAGAAGGUGCGCCGCGNNUNGUGANGAGACUUGCUCUCUGAGCUGAACGUGGUCGAAGAUACCAGGUGGCUGCGACUGUUUAUUAAAAACAUAGCACUCUGCAAACUCGUAAGAGGACGUAUAGGGUGUGACGCCUGCCCGGUGCCGGAAGGUUAAUUGAUGGGGUUAGCUUAUGCGAAGCUCUUGAUCGAAGCCCCGGUAAACGGCGGCCGUAACUAUAACGGUCCUAAGGUAGCGAAAUUCCUUGUCGGGUAAGUUCCGACCUGCACGAAUGGCGUAACGAUGGCCACACUGUCUCCACCAUAGACUCAGUGAAAUUGAAUUCGCUGUUAAGAUGCAGUGUACCCGCAGCUAGACGGAAAGACCCCGUGCACCUUUACUACAGGUUCACACUGGACUUUGACUUUAUUUGUGUAGGAUAGGUGGGAGACUUUGAAGCCNAGACGCUAGUCUUGGUGGAGUCGUCCUUGAAAUACCACCCUUGUAAAGUUGAGGCUCUAACUUAGGUCCGUAAUCCGGAUCGAGGACAGUGUGUGCUGGGUAGUUUGACUGGGGCGGUCUCCUCCCAAAGAGUAACGGAGGAGUACGAAGGUAUCCUAAGCAUGGUCGGACAUCAUGCAGAUUGUAUAAAGGCAUAAGGAUGCUUGACUGCGAGACCGACGGGUCGAGCAGGUAGGAAACUAGGUCUUAGUGAUCCGGUGGUUCUGAAUGGAAGGGCCAUCGCUCAACGGAUAAAAGGUACGCCGGGGAUAACAGGCUGAUACCGCCCAAGAGUUCAUAUCGACGGCGGUGUUUGGCACCUCGAUGUCGGCUCAUCACAUCCUGGGGCUGGAGCAGGUCCCAAGGGUAUGGCUGUUCGCCAUUUAAAGUGGUACGCGAGCUGGGUUUAGAACGUCGUGAGACAGUUCGGUCCCUAUCUGCUGUGGGCGUUUGGAGAUUUGAGGGAAGCUGAUCCUAGUACGAGAGGACCGGAUUGGACGAACCUCUGGUGUUCCGGUUGUCACGCCAGUGGCAUUGCCGGGUAGCUAUGUUCGGAAAGGAUAACCGCUGAAAGCAUNUAAGCGGGAAGCCUCUCCCAAGAUNANAUNUCCCAGANACUUUNNGUNUCCUAAAGAGUCGUCAUAGACUAUGACGUUGAUAGGCNAGAUGUGUAAGCGUUGUGAGGCGUUGAGCUAACUNGUACUAAUAACUCGUGAGNCUUGAUCAU
This 2122-nucleotide ribosomal RNA is filed under the name metagenome. RNAcentral's name for it is "bacterial LSU rRNA". It matches the Rfam family "Bacterial large subunit ribosomal RNA", at positions 822 to 2925 of the family's 2925-position model. The record is from RNAcentral.